RNAcentral lists this ribosomal RNA (449 nucleotides) under uncultured bacterium. Its description in RNAcentral is "partial 16S ribosomal RNA". It matches the Rfam family "Bacterial small subunit ribosomal RNA", at positions 29 to 523 of the family's 1533-position model. The record is from RNAcentral.
AACGAACGCUGGCGGCAGGCUUAACACAUGCAAGUCGAACGCCCUAGCAAUAGGGAGUGGCGCACGGGUGAGUGACGCGUGGGAAUGUACCGUUUAGUGGGGGAUAACCAAGGGAAACUUUGGCUAAUACCGCAUACGCCCUUCGGGGGAAAGAUUUAUCGCUAAACGAUCAGCCCGCGUGAGAUUAGGUAGUUGGUGGGGUAACGGCCUACCAAGCCGACGAUCUCUAGCUGGUCUGAGAGGAUGAUCAGCCACACUGGAACUGAGACACGGUCCAGACUCCUACGGGAGGCAGCAGUGGGGAAUAUUGGACAAUGGGGGCAACCCUGAUCCAGCCAUGCCGCGUGAGUGAUGAAGGCCUUAGGGUUGUAAAGCUCUUUUACCGAUGAAGAUAAUGACGGUAGUCGGAGAAAAAGCCCCGGCUAACUUCGUGCCAGCAGCCGCGGUAA